UAAAGGUCGUAUAACCGGCGGAAGUGGAAUAACCACAGGGAGUACGAUUUUAUUAAUGCCGACCGCCUGGGCAAACUAG
RNAcentral lists this non-coding RNA (79 nucleotides) under Clostridium felsineum. RNAcentral's name for it is "Clostridium roseum ZTP sequence". It matches the Rfam family "ZMP/ZTP riboswitch aptamer (pfl RNA motif)". Rfam says of the family: Previously known as pfl RNA. ZMP is also known as AICAR. The record is from RNAcentral. Lineage: Bacteria; Bacillati; Bacillota; Clostridia; Eubacteriales; Clostridiaceae.